This 254-nucleotide unclassified non-coding RNA is filed under the name rhizosphere metagenome. Its description in RNAcentral is "partial ribosomal RNA internal transcribed spacer region". The record is from RNAcentral.
GUAGGUGAACCUGCGGAAGGAUCAUUACUGAAUAACUAAAUCUUUAGUUUUUCAUACCCCAUUGUUGACUUACCCAUGUUGCUUCCACGUGGACAGGCGUUCAUUCUGCCCUCUGGCUUGUUGUGCUUACCCCACACUUGACAGGGAGUUGCCCGUGGUAAGACCCCAAUAUUACACUUUUUAUAUAUACUAUAAUGUCUGAAUAAAUCAUUUCAAAUGAAAUAAAACUUUCAACAACGGAUCUCUAGGCUCUU